This 253-nucleotide ribosomal RNA is filed under the name uncultured bacterium. RNAcentral describes it as "partial 16S ribosomal RNA". It matches the Rfam family "Bacterial small subunit ribosomal RNA", at positions 524 to 776 of the family's 1533-position model. The record is from RNAcentral.
UACGUAGGGUGCGAGCGUUAAUCGGAAUUACUGGGCGUAAAGCGUGCGCAGGCGGUUUUGUAAGCCAGAUGUGAAAGCCCCGGGCUUAACCUGGGAAUGGCAUUUGGGACUGCAAGGCUGGAGUGUGGCAGAGGAGACUGGAAUUCCUGGUGUAGCAGCGAAAUGCGUAGAUAUCAGGAGGAACACCGAUGGCGAAGGCAGGUCUCUGGGCUGACACUGACGCUCAUGCACGAAAGCGUGGGGAGCAAACAGG